RNAcentral lists this ribosomal RNA (406 nucleotides) under uncultured bacterium. Its description in RNAcentral is "partial 16S ribosomal RNA". It matches the Rfam family "Bacterial small subunit ribosomal RNA", at positions 30 to 526 of the family's 1533-position model. The record is from RNAcentral.
AUUGAACGCUGGCGGCAGGCUUAACACAUGCAAGUCGAACGAGUGGCGGACGGGUGAGUAAUGCCUGGGAAACUGGCUGAUGGAGGGGGAUAACUACGGGAAACGGUAGCUAAUACCGCAUACCAUAAGAUGAGCCCAGAUGGGAUUAGUUAGUUGGUGGGGUAAAGGCUCACCUAGGCGACGAUCCCUAGCUGGUCUGAGAGGAUGACCAGCCACCCUGGGACUGAGACACGGUCCAGACUCCUACGGGAGGCAGCAGUGGGGAAUAUUGCGCAAGGGGGGCAAGCCUGAUGCAGCCAUGCCGCGUGUGUGAAGAAGGCCUUCGGGUUGUAAAGCACUUUCAGCGAGGAGGCGUUAAUCGCAGAAGAAGCACCGGCUAACUCCGUGCCAGCAGCCGCGGUAAUAC